RNAcentral lists this ribosomal RNA (445 nucleotides) under uncultured bacterium. RNAcentral's name for it is "partial 16S ribosomal RNA". It matches the Rfam family "Bacterial small subunit ribosomal RNA", at positions 354 to 796 of the family's 1533-position model. The record is from RNAcentral.
GUGAGGAAUAUUGGACAAUGGAUGGAAAUCUGAUCCAGCCAUGCCGCGUGCAGGAAGACGGCCCUAUGGGUUGUAAACUGCUUUUGUAUGGGAGCAAUAAGGGCUACGUGUAGCCUGAUGAGAGUACCAUACGAAUAAGGACCGGCUAACUCCGUGCCAGCAGCCGCGGUAAUACGGAGGGUCCGAGCGUUAUCCGGAUUUAUGGGGUUUAAAGGGUGCGUAGGCGGUUUUAUAAGUCAGCGGUGAAAUUUUCCGGCUCAACCGGGAUACUGCCGUUGAUACUGUAAGGCUAGGAUAUGGUUGCUGUGGGUGGAAUGUGUGGUGUAGCGGUGAAAUGCUUAGAGAUCACACAGAAUAUCGAUUGCGAAGGCAGCUCACAAAGCCAUUAUUGACGCUGAGGCACGAAAGUGUGGGGAUCAAACAGGAUUAGAAACCCCUGUAGUCC